CCUACGGGUGGCAGCAGUGGGGAAUAUUGGACAAUGGGGGGAAGCCUGAUCCAGCGACGCCGCGUGAGUGAAGAAGGAUUUCGGGAUGUAAAGCUCUAUUAGCAGGGAAGAAAGAAAUGACGGUACCUGACGAAGAAGCCGCGGCUAACUACGUGCCAGCAGCCGCGGUAAUACGUAGGGGGCAAGCGUUAUCCGGAUUUAAUGGGUGUAAAGGGAGGGUAGGCGGUGAUGCAAGUCCGAAGUGAAAGGCAUGGGCCCAACCCACGGACUGCUUUUGAAACUGUAUGGCUGGAGUGCAGGAGAGGUAAGCGGAAUUCCGGGUGUAGCGGUGAAAUGCGUAGAUAUUAGGAGGAACACCAGUGGCGAAGGCGGCUUACUGGACAGUAACUGACGCUGAGGCUCGAAAGCGUGGGGAGCAAACAGGAUUAGAUACCCUGGUAGUC
Molecule: ribosomal RNA, 443 nt
Filed under: uncultured bacterium
Lineage: Bacteria
Description: partial 16S ribosomal RNA
Rfam family: Bacterial small subunit ribosomal RNA
Source: RNAcentral